AACGAACGCUGGCGGCAUGCCUAACACAUGCAAGUCGAACGAGACCUUCGGUUCUAGUGGCGCACGGGUGCGUAACGCGUGGGAACCUGCCCUUCGGUUCGUAAUAUCUCCCCGAAAGGGGUGCUAAUACCGGCUAAUUUCUUCGGACCAAAGAUUUAUCGCCUUUGGAUGGGCCCGCGUUGGAUUAGCUAGUUGGUAGGGUAAAAGCCUACCAAGGCGACGAUCCAUAGCUGGUCUGAGAGGAUGAGCAGCCACACUGGGGCUGAGACACGGCCCAGACUCCUACGGGAGGCAGCAGUGGGGAAUAUUGGAAAAUGGGAGAAAGGCUGAUCCAGCAAUGCCGCGUGAGUGAUGAAGGCCUUAGGGUUGUAAAGCUCUUUUACCCGGGAUGAUAAUGACAGUACCGGGAGAAUAAGCUCCGGCUAACUCCGUG
This 433-nucleotide ribosomal RNA is filed under the name uncultured bacterium. RNAcentral's name for it is "partial 16S ribosomal RNA". It matches the Rfam family "Bacterial small subunit ribosomal RNA", at positions 29 to 507 of the family's 1533-position model. The record is from RNAcentral.